This 670-nucleotide ribosomal RNA is filed under the name uncultured bacterium. RNAcentral describes it as "bacterial SSU rRNA". It matches the Rfam family "Bacterial small subunit ribosomal RNA", at positions 195 to 855 of the family's 1533-position model. The record is from RNAcentral.
AGCAGGGGACCGCAAGGCCUUGCGCUCUUUGAGCGGCCGAUAUCAGAUUAGCUAGUUGGUGGGGUAAAAGCUCACCAAGGCGACGAUCUGUAGCGGGUCUGAGAGGAUGAUCCGCCACACUGGAACUGAGACACGGUCCAGACUCCUACGGGAGGCAGCAGUGGGGAAUUUUGGACAAUGGGGGCAACCCUGAUCCAGCCAUGCCGCGUGAGUGAAGAAGGCCUUCGGGUUGUAAAGCUCUUUCAGCCGGGAAGAAAACGCAUCCUCUAAUACAGGGUGUGGAUGACGGUACCGGAAUAAGAAGCACCGGCUAACUACGUGCCAGCAGCCGCGGUAAUACGUAGGGUGCGAGCGUUAAUCGGAAUUACUGGGCGUAAAGCGUGCGCAGGCGGUUUGUUAAGACAGGCGUGAAAUCCCCGGGCUCAACCUGGGAACUGCGCUUGUGACUGGCAAGCUAGAGUAUGGCAGAGGGGGGUGGAAUUCCACGUGUAGCAGUGAAAUGCGUAGAGAUGUGGAGGAACACCGAUGGCGAAGGCAGCCCCCUGGGCCAAUACUGACGCUCAUGCACGAAAGCGUGGGGAGCAAACAGGAUUAGAUACCCUGGUAGUCCACGCCCUAAACGAUGUCAACUAGGUGCUGGAUGGGUAAAACCAUUUAGUACCGGAGCUAA